GCUUAGCUUAAUUGUCUGUCUUCCCUUAGACUGUGAGUGAGUCUAUGAGGACAGGAACUGUCUGCCUUCCUAAACAAUUUUCAGCACCUUGCCCAGCCUGGCACAUGACACGCACUGAACAGAAAUUUGUUGAAUAAAGGCCCUGAGCAGUGGCUCAUGCCAGUAAUCCCAGAACUUUGGGAGGCUGUGGCAGGAGGAUUGCUUGAGCCACGGAGUUUGAGACCAGCCUGGGAAACAUAGUGACAGCCUCCUUAUGCUUUAUUUUAAAACAUUAUCCAGGCAUGGUGGCAUGCACCUGUGAUCCCAGCUACUCAGGAGGCUGAGGUGGGAGGGUGGCUUGAGCCCCAGGAGAUUGAGGCUGCAGUGAGCUGUGAUCACACCACUUCACUCUGUUACGGGCGGGUCUUUGUUCUUAGAGCUCCCAAGAUGGGGUGGGGCUGCUCCCAAGAUGGCAGCAAGCCUUUUGUUCUCUGACCUGGGGUCCUUGGCCUCACAGAUUCCAAGGACUUGGGCCAUAUAGUGAGUGUUGUAGCUCUAUUAGAAGCCGUGGGUCAUGGAAGAGAACUGUGGCACCCAGUGGCUAGUGUUCAGCUCAAUUAGGACGAACCCGGGACUUAGCCAUGCAGGAACAAUGGCGAGCCUUUAGCCCGAUUGGGAGCAGCAACGGGCAUCUCGCUUGAUCAGAAACACAGCGGACACCCUGCCAGAAGUCAAUGGUGGGUCUGGGAUGGUGGCGAACAGCAGUGGUGGUGAACAGCAGUUGUGGACUGUGAGCAAAAGCUCAGCUUGAGCAGUAACAAACAUGGGCCAGGAGAGUGUGCAGUUGCAAGAUUUAACAGUGAAAACAGAGCUCCCAUACAAUGGGAGGGGUCCCAAAGGGGGUUGCCACUCCCUGCUCGAAUGCCUGGAUUUAUAUCCUGAUCAUUGUCCCUCCCCCUGUGCUCUCAGGUGAUAUAUGAUUUGACUAUUUCUUUACCUCCUGCUUUAGCCUAAUUUGUAUUUUAGUGAGGCCUCUUUACUACCUGAUUGGUUGGGAGUGAGCUGAGUUACAAGCCGCGUGUUUAAAGGUAGGUGCAGUCACCUUUCCCAGCUAGGCUUAGGAAUUCUUAGUUGGCCUAGGAAAUCCAGCUAGUCCUGUCUCUCAACUCCAGCCUGGGCAACAGAGCAAGACCCUGUUUCAAAACAAAACAAAAAAGAAAAAAAUUUGCUGGGUGAAUAAGUAACUGAAAAGAAUGGAAAGCAGAUCUUCUAGGCUGUGCUGUGUUGAAUAGCGUCCCCACAAAUUCACGUCUGCUCAGAACCUGUGAAUAUGACCUUACAGGGUCUUUGCAGAUGUAAUCAGGCUGAAAUGAGGGCACAGUGGAUUCGUCUGGGCCCUAAUCCAAUGACUGGAGGCCUUACAGAAAGAGGGAAAUUGGGGCAGGAACAUACACCAGGGAGCAGGGGGAGGCAGAGGUUGGAGUGACAACCUGGGCACCAGGAGCUAGGAGAGAGGCAUGGCCUUGAGUCUCCAGAAGGUCCUCCGAGGGCCAGGGGCUGAGGAAAGGCAGGUGCACUGAACAACUCAACGACCCUGCGGCUUACAAGUCACUCCCUUUGCCGGGCCUUGCAGACCCGGGGAGGGAGCAGCAGUGCUGGCUGCACUCGCCAGGGAUAACUAUGGCUUGCUUCUCAUUGGACGAGGCUCCCCUCAAUCACAGAAAGGCUCAGGAUGGGCCUCACUGUGACUUCUGGGCCUUUUUUCUUUGGUCAAGUAAGGGGGCGGGACCUGAUUGGCUACAGGUUUGAGGACAGUUGUCUCCCGCUCUAGACUGGAAGGAGACUGGCAGUGGCUGAAGCGCCUGAGCUGAUGACUGCUGACGCCCCAGAGUGGCGCGCGCUGAGGGGCAUUUGGAGGUUUUUGGAAUUUCCGAUCAAAGGUGGAGGCAGGGUUUACACCCAAACCUAGAACAAAUCACCCGUUCUCUUUCCUGAUUUCCCUUUCCGAGUAACUGAGAUUAUAACCUCCAGGGUGGCUUUCCUAAGACUUCUGGACCUGACAAGAUUCUUCCAGAAUUCCUCAGCGGCCACGUGCUCUCACCUUCCCUCAAUCUCAGUGAGAAGCAGAAUAACCAGAUGUACAAAGAAUUUGAAUUCCAUUUGUACAAGUACAGAGAGACAGCUGCCAAAGAGCUGUGUAGGAACAUGGACUUUGAGCAUCUCAGAGGGUGGCCCUCUGGCACGUGGCUUUCCCGCCUGGGAGGCUGGUGGCAGCUGCCACAUCAGGUCUCAGUAGACAGAGAUGAAGUCUUUGCAAACAAAAAAAUAAAUAAAAUAAAAUUGUCUCAGUGGGCAGAGAUGAAGUCUUUGCAAACAAAAAAAUAAAAUAAAAUAAAACUGUCUCUUUCGUAUCUCCCCACCCAGAAAAACAGCCUUGACGUAUGCUGCUGUGUCCAAAAUUGGUGGAUUCUUGAUCUCACUGACUUCAAGAAUGAAGCUACAGACUCUCACGACAGGCCUCCUCUGCUCUCCAACCCACAGGCUGGUGGAAGAUGGCCACCCCGUGACACCUGUGCUGGGGACUGUGGACUCUCUUUACUCCCAAUUUUUCACUCUAGCAGGAGAAGACUGUGGCCCCCUUGGGGCCUAUCUCCAUCCCUUUCCAGGGGUCUCGGUCACAUACUACAUGACAUUCUGGGGCCCACUCUGUGCAUGGGAGGAGGACACUUUCAAGAGGAAGAGGGGGUUAUUGGUUCAUGAACUGGGAAGACACCCCCAAAAUAUCCAUUCUGAAAGAAUGCCACUCAACACAGAGUGAGAAACCUGAGUGAGUGAAGAACACAUUCUUGAUCAAUUCAUUCCACAUUUGCCUAGUAGAAGGUCUGAGUGCUGUGCAGGUGGGUGUGAGGCUCACCACUCCCCUUGGUCUGACUACUCAGUGUAAGCUCCAAGCUCGCGUGGGCCAUUCAGCAAAAACCAAGCUGUUCAUCCGGUUUAACAAACAGCUCUUGUUACCCAGCAAAGCCUCUUGGUGGAUUCACCCUGACCUCCACUUCCCAACCCCCAGCCUCAAGAAGCCUAUGGAAACUUCCCUUCCAAACUCCGGCAGCCCUCGGCAGAGAGGAAUUCUGCUGAAUGACAUUUUCCCUAUCUCGCACAUUUUCAUGGAGGUAGCUGCCUGGCUGGCAGGCACCUUAACUUGGCCGUGGCGAGGAGAGAUGAUGAGGCAGGGGUGGUUUUUGACAUCACACAUUUCAGGCCACGUAGCAUGGACAGCUGGCUGUCUGCUUAGUGGCCACACUGACCCUGAAGAGGUAACGCACUCCUCUCUGGAACCCUGUCUAGCAGCAGGAAUGGCGCAGUGACUCCUGGAAGGCCUAUUCAACCGCAAAUCUACAAUUGAUUGAUGACUCCUUUAGGUUUUGCAGGAAGUCACAGCAAUAAUCCAGGUAGUGACAAAAUUAUGUAAUUAAGUUUCAUUUAAUUCCCUAUAAUUAAAUACACCUGUGAUUGCUAGGGCUGUGGGUGUUGAGAUAGACAUUUCCUUAUUCUCAAGCAUGGUAUUUACUAAAUGCUCAAAUUGUAUCCAUAUGCUGAGUGCCCCAUAUUCAACGCAUUCGGCCCUGUGUGGUCCUGACCCUGUGAGCUGGGCUGGGGUGUGGGAAGGCUUUCUUCUAUUAAUGACUUCUAGUCCAGAGGCACAGGCAAAUUAAUCAUGGGUCAUACCAAAACAAAAAGCGACUUAACUGCAUAAUUCUGAUCUACUAGGGAAGUAAAAAUAUAAAAUGUUGCACUUUAAUAAAUGAAUUUAUUGGCUGGGUGAGGUGGCUCAUGCCUGUAGAGCCAGCAUUUUGGGAGGCCGAGGCGGGCAGAUCACCUGAGGGCAGGAGUUCAAGACCAGCCUGGCCAACAUGGCAAAACCCCGUCUCUACUAAAAAUGCAAAAAAAAUUAGUUGGGUGUGGUGGCAUGCACCUGUAAUCCCAGCUAUUCCGGAGGCUGACGCACGAGAGUUGCUUGAACCUGGGCGGCAGAGGUUGCAGUGAGCUGAGAUAGCACUACUGCACUCCAGCCUGGGUGAUAGAGCAAGACUCUGUCUCAAUUAAAAAAUAAUAAUAAUGGCCAGGCAUGGUGGCUCACGCCUGUAAUCCCAGCACUUUGGGAGGCCGAGGUGGGUGGAUCACCUGAGGUCGGGAGUUCGAGACCAGCCUGACCAGCAUGGAGAAACCCCGUCUCUACUAAAAAUACAAAAUUAGCCGGGCAUGGUGGCGCAUGCCUGUAAUCCCAGCUACUCGGGAGGCUGAGGCAGGAGAAUCGCUUGAACCUGGAAUGCUGAGGUUGCGGUGAGCCGAGAUCGUGCCAUUGCACUUCAGCCUGGGCAACAAGAGCGAAACUCCAUCUCAAAUAAUAAUAAUAAUUAAAAAUCAAUCAAUCAAUUUAUCAUGAACAAGAAUCGCACAAUAACAGCAACAGGCGAAUAGUUAUCUGGCAACCUCCUCCCUCUCUGUAUAUAUAUAUUUUCCUUUUUUUGAGACUGAGUCUCUGUUGUCUAGGCUGGUGGCACGUUCACAGCUCAUUGCAGCCUCGACCUCCUGGCUCAAACGAGUCUCCUGCCUUGGCCUCCUGAGUAGCUGGGACUACAGGUGCAUGCGCCCCCAGGCCCAGCUGCCUUCUAUAUUCUUUAGUGUACAUCACCAAGGGGAACCUGGAAGUGAAGAAAUGGCAAAAGGUUCAAAGUUCGUUUAUGCUUGCAGCCAUGAAACACCUAUUGGCCAGAGAGCGGUAUUUUCCAAGGAUACAGUACGAGAGAUAACACAGGAAUGUUGAAGUUGACUAGGAUAUUGAAGAGGCUGAAACUGAAUUUUGAAAAAAUACCCCAAUGAAAGGUCACUCACUGAUAAAGCCAGUAGGAGUAGAAGAUUAUUUUAUGGAGGAGGAUAAGAAAAGAGCUGAAAAGACUCCUUUGAUUCUCUAAAUAAUUUUGCACCUGGGCUCCCGCCUUCUAUGGCGUGGAGAGCGAGCGGAAGUGGCUGCAGGUGAGUUGCGCCUGGUAUGUGGUGAAUGGCUGGUCACACAGAUUCGCCUCUACUUACAUCCUUAAGUCCUGGGCUCUUUCUCAGUCCCCACCAUCAACUUUGCCCUUAUUUUAUCUCAGUCCCCCUGGCUGGGUGAGCUUUCCUCUUCCAGGUUUCAUGUUUGGUUCCCACAGCUUUGAUGCUGCUUCUCCUUGAAAGGAGGACAAACUAACCCUUCGCUCUGCUCCGUGUCCCUCUCCACUCCCUGCUGUGGAGCUCUCUACCUUGAACUGCUCCUGCCUCCUGUGCCCCAAGUUGUUAGCUGGGCCUGGAGUUCCCAAGACCCCCUUGGUGUCCACGAGGGCUAUUCCAGCCUCCUUUUGGUAUGUGAUCAGUUCUUCGGGGUCUCCUGUCUUAUGUGAGAUAGAAACCAGCCAUUCUGCUUUUCUUUUCCAACUCCAAAGUUGGCCAGGCGUGGUGCCUCACGCCUGUAAUCCCAGCACUUUGGGAGGCCGGGGGUGGGGGGCGGGGGGCGGAUCACCUGAGGUCAGGAGUUCGAGACCAGCCUGGCCAACAUGGUGAAACCCCAUCUCUAUUAAAAAUACAAAAAUUAUUGGGCAUGGUGGUGCAUGCCUGUAAUCCCAGCUACUCGGGAGGCUGAGGCAGGAGAAUCGCUUGAACUUGGGAGGCAGAGGUUGCAGUGAGCUGAGAUCGUACCACUGCACUCCAGCCUGAGUGAUACAGCAAGACUCUGUCUCAAAAAAACAAAAACAAAAAACAAACUCCAAAGUUUAUCUUCCUUGGAAAAUCCUGAAAGUCUUCUAAAAGCGAAUGAAUGCUUUAUUUUUAUGACUUUACUUUGAUUUUAGAUGUGUCUAUUCGCUGCUUCCAUGACUAAAAGCUGUAUGAUUGCCUUAAUUAUCUUUGUAUGCUGGAAAAAAAUGGCAGAAAUCCAUUUUC
Long non-coding RNA from Gorilla gorilla gorilla (western lowland gorilla), 5952 nucleotides. RefSeq lists it as uncharacterized. The transcript is spliced from 2 exons. NCBI's taxonomy places the organism in Eukaryota, Metazoa, Chordata, Mammalia, Primates, Hominidae. The record is from RefSeq and is a predicted model, not a curated record.